This 473-nucleotide RNase P RNA is filed under the name Parcubacteria group bacterium. Its description in RNAcentral is "RNase P RNA component class A". It matches the Rfam family "Bacterial RNase P class A". From Rfam's summary of the family: Ribonuclease P (RNase P) is a ubiquitous endoribonuclease, found in archaea, bacteria and eukarya as well as chloroplasts and mitochondria. Its best characterised activity is the generation of mature 5'-ends of tRNAs by cleaving the 5'-leader elements of precursor-tRNAs. Cellular RNase Ps are ribonucleoproteins. The record is from RNAcentral.
AAAGUAUAGACAAAUAAUAGAAUUUAGAAAGUGGGGGGAGGAAAGUCCGAACACCAUAAAGCGGUAGUGGGUAACGCCCACCCUUUUGCUGGUAACGGUAAAAGAGGACCAGUUCCACAGAGACUAUACAAGUCAGUGCUGCGCACUGCAAAUUCAAAAUUCAAAACAUUAAAUUCCAAAUAAAUUAUUUGUGAUUUGUGAUUUUGGACUUAUAAUUUUCAGCGCGUAGCGCUGGCCAAAUGUGAAAAGUGUUAAGGUGUGCUGUGCUGAAUACGGGAUAUCCCUUCAGCGUAACGCUUCUUAACUCGGCUCCUGGUGACAGGAUGUCGUGGUAAACUCUACCUGGUGCAAUGCUAAAUUUGGUAAGCAGCAUGAGCUGUUUGGCAACAAACAGUCAAGAUAGAUGAUCAUCAUCCAUCACUUUUAGAAAAAGUGAGGGAAUACAAAAUUCGGCUUAUCAGUUUGCUUGGACA